AGAGUUUGAUCCUGGCUCAGGACGAACGCUGGCGGCGUGCUUAAUACAUGCAAGUCGAACGACCCCGAGCUUCGGCUCAAUGGGGGAGUGGCGAACGGGUGAGUAACACGUGAGAAACCUGCCUCGGAGAUGGGAAUAGCCCAGGGAAACCUGGAUUAAUGCCCAAUAUGCUGUUUACGCUUCAUGGCGCAAUCAGGAAAUGUUCCGACGCUCCGGGAGGGUCUCGCGGCCUAUCAGCUUGUUGGUGAGGUAACGGCUCACCAAGGCAUCGACGGGUAGCUGGUCUGAGAGGACGAUCAGCCACACUGGGACUGAGACACGGCCCAGACUCCUACGGGAGGCAGCAGUAGGGAAUCUUGCGCAAUGGGCGAAAGCCUGACGCAGCAACGCCGCGUGGGGGAAGAAGGCUCUCGGGUCGUAAACCCCUUUCAGCAGGGACGAAAAUGACGGUACCUGCAGAAGAAGGACCGGCCAACUACGUGCCAGCAGCCGCGGUAAUACGUAGGGUCCAAGCGUUGUCCGGAUUUAUUGGGCGUAAAGAGCUCGUAGGCGGUUUGGUAAGUCGGGUGUGAAAACUCAGGGCUCAACCCUGAGACGCCACUCGAUACUGCCAUGACUAGAGUCCGGUAGGGGAGUGUGGAAUUCCUGGUGUAGCGGUGAAAUGCGCAGAUAUCAGGAGGAACACCAACAGCGAAGGCA
This 699-nucleotide ribosomal RNA is filed under the name uncultured bacterium. RNAcentral's name for it is "bacterial SSU rRNA". It matches the Rfam family "Bacterial small subunit ribosomal RNA", at positions 8 to 723 of the family's 1533-position model. The record is from RNAcentral.